AUAUAUAUACAAGUUAAAUCUAAGCGAUAAUAGCCCCAUGGAUAGUGGCAUAGUUAGAAGUGGAUGGCAUGAAAAAGUAACAAGCAGCAUUGUGAACUGGGUCGAAUUUAAUAGGGGACAAUGCCAAGAAGGAUCUUUUUAUUUUUUUUCCUUCAAGUCAUGCUCAAUUCACUAGGUGUUGUUCACUAAAAUCUCAAUUAGAUGCAAAGACUGAGUACCGUGGGGCUCCCCAGAUCAAUUAUGUGCAGGUCGAUCACUGAGCGACCGUCAAUAAAGUAAUCAAAGCUGAAAUAUAUUCCACUUACAGCUUUUUGUUUCCAACAAUCUAAGAAGUAACUGUAAUCAUUAUUCCCUUUAGCUCUGCCACUUGGAAGACUGACAGAGGAAGAGCUUCAGGAGGAAAUGUCUUCCUCAUUGGAUGAUUGGGAGAAAACUGGCACCCCAAAUCAGGUGGUUUUGGCCUAAGGAAAUGAGCCAGAAGCCACAUGCAUCUUUUCAUCGGAUCACCAGCAGGUUGCUUCUGAAGACACCUCCGGGCAGGUUGGACACUGCGCGGACCCUCACAGCCUGGGGCAACUGGCUGGUGCUCCUGCCGCGAAGUGAGCCAACACAAACCCAGAAUUACAAACUUCAUCACACGCAAGUGGUCCAGGCAGCAGCUGUUAAAAAUGGCACAGCUAUGAACAAGUGUAAUAGGAAGGACUGAUUGGAUCAUGGUGUGGUGAAUGAAAACUGUGAUUUUCUCGAAUGGAUAUUCAUCACAGGUGGAGAGACUUCUUCCACAUCUCCACCUAGCUUUUCAAGGAUGAGCCUACUGGAGCUCUAGGGUUCUGGAUCCGGAUAUCAGAGGUCCCGGGACAUGCUACCUUCCAGAAAUGACAGAGACAUUACAAGGAUUUCUUAGCUAAUGACAACUCUGACCUAAGUGCAGUGAAAAGCACCAGAAUGAUAUUUGAAGCUGAUACAACUGCUGGAGAAAAAGCCGAAAGAAAAUACGAGAUAUUUCGCCCCUGAAGAAAAUGCAAGUCCUGGGAUUACAAACUCUGCUGAUGGUAGGAGGUGAAUUUAGUUUUAAUUUUAGUUUAGUGCAGUUUAGUUUUAAAUUUAUUCAUGAUGACCCUAUUCACUGUCCCGAAGUCAAUGAGGAACUUAUUCACAGAACCUUUUUGCAACGUGGGUAUGAAUUUUAUUUUGGGGUGUAUUAAAGAUGGAGGCAGAGAAGCUAUAAAAAUAGUAAAAAUCCUAUUAAAAGCAUUUUUCUUUUAAAGAAGAUUGCCUUAAUGUUGGGAUCUUAAUGGGAUGAAGAUAAUAUGUUACCAUAUGGUCUGAAUUGCUGUUAAGAGUCCUUUUUUUAAUCAGCUAUUUAUUUUGAAAGAGCAAGUCUGAAUAAAAUAAGGAAAUGCUUUCAGAUUUUUUCCAUUAUUUCUUCUCUCAAAAUCUCAGCUGUAAAUCUGGUUAUCUCUCCUAAUGAGGCACCCUACAGAUUCAAACUUUAGUAAAGAUUUCCAGUAAAAAAAAAAAAUAGAAGAGGGUCACCGCAGGCAAAUAUUGUUACUUUUAUUUGUCUUAUGUUGUCUGAGUCUUAAAUGGAAGCAACUUUUCCUCCAAAAUUGCAAGCCAGGAAGACCAAGUUUCCAGAAAGUCAUGGCGAAUGUUUCAUUUAUACAUCAUACAUUAAAUUUUUCAACCAGCGCAAGGAACCAACGUUUCAAAAAACACAUGAUAAGAGCUGAAUUUAAAAGAUGAACUCUCCCUUCCCUAAAGGAAUUCUUAUAGAGAAAAGCGAUAUGCAGAUGGCCAGUAAAUUAUUAUACACAUCAAAAGAAAGCUGAUUAUAAGGUAAAGUAGGAGAAUAAAGGAUAUAUUGUUGAAGACCUCCCUGGGAUAUAUGAUAACAGUGCCUAACUUCAGAGGUAAUACUUAACUGAGUCUCUGAUGUUGUUUUGAAGGAUGGCUAGAAGGUCACCAGCCAAACAAACCAAAGAUAUUUUGUUAGAGGAAAGGUAUAUGAAUAAAACCAGAAGCAUGAAGUGGGAUGGCAUAUUAACAGAACUGAAUAUUUCUUUAAACUCCUGUCAGAUCAGGGGUCAAACACUACUCCCUGUUGGCUGGCCAUAUCCAGCUGCCACCAGUUUUGAUACUUUUUGGAAUGCAGCCAUGCCCCUUCAGUUACUACUGUUUAUGGUUACAUUUUUGUUACAAAGGCAGUGCUAGGUACUUGAGACAAAGAACAUAGAGUCCAAGGUAUCAAAUAUUUACUAUCUGGCCUUUCACAGAAAAAGCAAUUGCUGAGCUUAAGUCAGAGUAAAUGCAUAUAUAAAAAAGAAGGCAAAGAGAAAUGGUCAUGGCCUUGAUGCCUGAGAGCAUGUAAGCCACUGAGUAAUUUGGGUAGAAAUGUGUUUCCAAGAGAUCCAUAGCAGCCAUCAGCCAUCUUGCUGUUUUCCUCCCUCCCUCUCUUUCUCAUUCCUAACUUAAUUUAACACCUCUUUACGUGCCAAAGGCCUAUAUUAAACAAUUGAAGGAGAGAAACCCAUUCAUGAAUUAGUAAUGACUUGUACAGAAGGAAUUCAAGGAACUUUUCUGUACUUUACAGCAUUUGAUCCUCAUAAUAAUCUGCGAGCUCAGGUAUUGUUGCCUCUAUUUCACCGACUGAACACUUGAAAUACUGAGAGUUGAAGUAUUUUUUUUUCUGAACUCAGAUAACUGAUAAGUCGUUUCAUUACAGGUCUCAGAUUCCCAGAGCACUGAUCUGGGAAUCUGUGCUCUUUGUCAACACCAAGCAAGGUUUUAGAGCAAGCCUAUUCUCUUGAAGACUAAUCUAGCCCUACAGUUCUGACCCUUAAUUUAAGUUGAAUGUAAGGGUUGCUUUUGUUAUUUUAUCUUAGCCUCGUUGUCCCAAAAGCAGAGCCUGAAAAAGGCUUAUGUGUAGGCAGUUUACUUUGAAGUGAUUCCACAGAGCAGGAGUGAGGGACAAGGUCAUGAAAAAGAGAAAAAUGGGAAGGCAAUCAGAAGAUAUGUUUCUGAGUUGACCACUGGCAGUGUUGAAUUUUCCCCUGAGUUCUGUGCUCUUGGCAAAUAGCCAUGGUCAAGACAUCUCCAACUUGUUGUGUUUGGGAAAAGACUUACUACAAACAACAAUCCUUCCCUAUACAACUUACCUAAGACUUCUGGAUGGCUCCUGUGUUUACCUAUGACAAGGCCAGACACAGACCCUUCAAAUUCCCAUUCUUUGUCUCAUAGAUAGUUGGGUGAGCUGUUUGUCUACACUCACUAAUCUGAACAAAAGGAGCACUGACCUGAUUCAACUUUACUUAAGUUUCUUUUCUCACCUCAGGCCCCUGACCUUUGGAUCACCAUUGGAAACAAGGUCUUCUUCAUAGCCCCUCCUGAAAACGGACUGACCUUAAGGGGAAACACUCUGAUAAACUCUUUGAUUAUACUGCUGGUUCAGCCUACUCCCCUACAGCCAGUUCUUUCUAGCUGGUUCUCAGGAGGGUUUUUAUUUGACACCAUGUGUGUGGGCUACUAAUGUUGUAUCUUAUGAGAUGUUCUGGAUAGUCAUGUGAUAUUCUUCUCAAAACUCUCUUCCAGUGAGAUAAAAGCAAGGAGAGCAUUAUUCAUCAGCUUCAUCUUCCACUGGUUAAGGGUGUUCCUGUCAAUGUUAACUCCACAUUUCCCAGUUCACAUUGGAAAGCAUUGUGAAUUCACCUCGCUACCACCGUCUCCCUUCCCCGACAUUUUGGGGUUUCAAUGGGAAUAUGAUGGGAGCCUAAACUUCUACAUUUUAUAAAAGUUAGAUGGUGGUGUUAAUCUCAUAACUCCUUCUGGGAGACAGUAUUGUUUCUGAUAUACUAUGUUGCCAAGGGACUGCAGAAAUCAGUUUUAGGGUCUUCUACUUUACCCUUUCUGCCAAGAAUGUCUCACUUCACAGUUUAUAAAAACUAUGUGAUAUUUUUUUAAACUAUUAAAUAUACCUAUCCCAAUUAUAUGCUUGGGUGCUAGAAAAUAGAGACAGGAUUAGUUAUGAAUGUAUUAGACCCACUGUACAAUGGACUUGAGUCAGACUCCAUCUAUCACCUCUACUCCUUAAAUCAUCAUUCUAUCUGGAAAACCAAGACGGCACUUUCAGUCCCUUGGUAUCAGUGCAAAUUCAGACUCCAUGUCCAACAGUGUCCAGUUCAAAAAGUUUGGAUAUUUACUUUCGCCCCAUACAUUGCAAAGAUUUUCCUCUAGAAACUCAGCUUCCGCAUAGGUGGACAAUGGCUCUGAGGCAGGGAAUAUUACAUUUAAAAACUGGUUGAAAGGUUGACAUGAUCAGUGAUGUCAACUUUUGACUCACUAGCUCUCAUUUCUUUUUUCUUAGUUAUUCAAGUCAACUAACACCUAUUUUUGACUGUCUAUCUUUUCAGGACAAAACACCAGGAUCCAUUAAUCAUCUUCACAGAUCCUGCAGGUCAAAGCAACAUAAUUACCAUUUGGCCCUUGUGAUCCAUGAUGGUCAUUAAUCCACCUUGUCCUUGCUCGUGGAGUGUUGCCAUCUGGCUUUUGCCAUUCCAGAGUUUACCAUCUCCCAUUCAAAAUAGGGGUCCCAGUCAAUAGGUAUAUCCCUACAUUUAACCUUGCCCUGGAGAAGAGUGCUUUCACCAAAAUUUUUAAAGAUGCCACUACUCCUCUUACCUAUACAUUUCUCACUGCUUUAGCAAAGGGACCAUUCUCCAUUUCCUUCCAAGAGACUCAUUUUUAUUUUCUUGAGCCUUCUGACUCCUUCCUCAAUAAUCUCUUAAGCCACCUCCACUUUAUUUCCUCUAGGCUGGUGUUUCUUAAAUUUAAAUAUAAUACAAAUUAUCUGGAAGCUUCAUAAAAUACAUAUUCUUACUGAAUACAUCUGAAUUGACUUAAAAUUUGUAUUUCUAAUACGCUCCUGUGUGAUAUCCAUGCUAUUGGUCUACAGAUAACAGUGCCAUAACAAUGCUACAGGUAGACAGUUGUUAUGUUCACGUUGCAAAAAGCCAUCUCAUCUAAGACAGAUUCUAAGUGCUUCGAGGCCAAUAAAUCUUUUAAACUUGGACCCAUUGGGCCAAUACCCACAAGACCCAUUCCACAUUUUUUCUUGUUUCUUUCUGAUAUGUAUUGUUGGUUUGCUAACUUCUUCAUUAUGUGAACAAUUUCCUGGCAGAACAGAGACCAUAUUUUUCUGUUCCACUAUGCUGAGCCUGGGUCUCUUGAAAUAGGAAUGAAGAACAAAGAUGGGGCACUUGGGUGGCUUGGUUGAUUAAGCGUCCAACUUUGGCUCAGGGCAUGAUCUCACUGUUUAUGAAUUUGAGACCUGUGUCAGGGUCUAUGCUAAUGGUUCAGAGCCUGGAGCUUGCUUCAGAUUCUGUGUCUCCCUCUCUCUCUGCCCCUCCCCCAUGCCCUAUCUCUCUCUCUCUUUCUCAAAAAUAAAUAAAUAUUAAAAAAAAAAAACCUUAAAAAAAACAAGGAAUGAAAGACAAAGAGAGCCAAACAGAAAGAGAAAAGCCAACCAGUGCUCAAUGCAUUGUGAUCUUUGGAGGAGCAUUAUGAAAUGCUUCUCAGACCUUUGCACUCCAAGAAAGAAAGAAUUUCUUUUUAAAUAUGUGCAUGAUAUCUCCGUUCGUUUGAACUUCCCUGAAGUUCUGACGUACCCAGGUAUAAAGGCCGACGAAGUUUCAGUGGGCAUCCCAUGCCCUGGCUUCAGAGAAGCCCGGGGAUUAGAGGUAAGGAGCUGUCACAGUGCACAAAGCUUUCACAAAACGAGCCACUGCAGUACCGGCUGACGCAAGAGAUGAAGCCAGAGUACUUGAAAUGGCACAAAACAGUUGUCCAUUAUAUCUUCCAUCUAUCUUUCUGAUCCCACCUCCCUGUUUGUGUUCCUCCUUCCCCAUUCUUCCUUUCUACUCACUGCCCAGUGUCAUCUGCCAGCAGCAGUCAGUUGAUUACCAGAUACAGUCUCUUAAAUCUCUCUUUUUCUAACAAGGAGCCUGCAACUUCCAGCCUUUGCACUCAGAAAAUGAGUUCUUAGCUAAUCCUGCUGAAUCAGAGGUCUAGAUACCAAAACCUGCAAACCUGCAAUCCAGCCCAAUUCUACCUCUCGUUCUCUGGGCUUCAAUAUAUUAUUCUGUGUCCUCAUCUGGAAAGCAAAAGCAAUGAUAGUACUUGUUAAUGUGCAGACAUUUCACUGUGACAUGUGCAAAACUGUUCUGAAAACAGCAGAGUCCUAAACAAAACAUAAUCUGUUGCUUUUAUGUGCUAACUAAUUCAUAAUACCUAAUGAGAAAGGCCUAUGGAAUGCUUAAAAUACAUAUUCCUCCCAGAAUUAUUUGCAUUUCAAAGGAAAAAAGUCUAAUCAAAAUGAAUAACUGCUUAAAGGUAGAAUUUCUAACAUUCUGACGGGAUCUCCUGCUGCUUGUUCUUUUGUUUUUUAUUAGCUUCUGAGUAUCCGUGCAUACGUAUAACAACCCUUUUCUGAACAUUCACGGGUUGCCAUGACCCUGCUGGCUGCUUUAAAGAUCUUAUUGUAGGGGUGCCUGGGUGGCUCAGUUGGUUAAGCAGCCGACUUCAGCUCAGGUCAUGAUCUCACGGUCCGUGAGUUUGAGCCCCGUGUUGGGCUCUGU
Felis catus (domestic cat) is the source of this 6632-nucleotide long non-coding RNA. RefSeq lists it as uncharacterized. NCBI's taxonomy places the organism in Eukaryota, Metazoa, Chordata, Mammalia, Carnivora, Felidae. The record is from RefSeq and is a predicted model, not a curated record. The transcript has 6 exons.